This 539-nucleotide ribosomal RNA is filed under the name uncultured bacterium. Its description in RNAcentral is "partial 16S ribosomal RNA". It matches the Rfam family "Bacterial small subunit ribosomal RNA", at positions 355 to 887 of the family's 1533-position model. The record is from RNAcentral.
UGGGGAAUUUUGGACAAUGGGCGCAAGCCUGAUCCAGCCAUGCCGCGUGCGGGAAGAAGGCCUUCGGGUUGUAAACCGCUUUUGUCAGGGAAGAAAUCUUCUGAGUUAAUACCUCGGGAGGAUGACGGUACCUGAAGAAUAAGCACCGGCUAACUACGUGCCAGCAGCCGCGGUAAUACGUAGGGUGCAAGCGUUAAUCGGAAUUACUGGGCGUAAAGCGUGCGCAGGCGGUUUUGUAAGACAGAGGUGAAAUCCCCGGGCUCAACCUGGGAACUGCCUUUGUGACUGCAAGGCUUGAGUGCGGCAGAGGGGGAUGGAAUUCCGCGUGUAGCAGUGAAAUGCGUAGAUAUGCGGAGGAACACCGAUGGCGAAGGCAAUCCCCUGGGCCUGCACUGACGCUCAUGCACGAAAGCGUGGGGAGCAAACAGGAUUAGAUACCCUGGUAGUCCACGCCCUAAACGAUGUCAACUGGUUGUUGGGAAGGUUCCUUCUCAGUAACGUAGCUAACGCGUGAAGUUGACCGCCUGGGGAGUACGGCC